AUCCCUGCUAUGGCAGCGACGUCAUCCCCUUCAUGCCUGUUCAUUCGAUGGUCGGAUUUCGCAUGCGGUCAUCUAGAUUUCGGUUCCCUGUGUUGCAUACCUGUUGCAAAGGUAUCUUGUUGGCUAAAACGACCCUAUUUCGCCCUACGCUACGAUUUAUAUUGCGGCUGAAGGUGAACCUAAAAGCAUCCAUCGUGUUCCAGCCCGUUCACUACACGUGGGGGGAAUUGGACCUCGAUGAUGUGCUCGAAUUCUCGGAUGCGGAAUAUUAAGUGGGUACGAGGACCUUGAUCCUCUGUUUACCCUGAACAAGCGUUCUACGCUUCGUGCGAAUGACGUUCUUCCUCGUUGUGGACUUCAGUCC
Molecule: unclassified non-coding RNA, 364 nt
Filed under: Syringa vulgaris (common lilac)
Lineage: Eukaryota; Viridiplantae; Streptophyta; Magnoliopsida; Lamiales; Oleaceae
Description: partial external transcribed spacer
Source: RNAcentral